Long non-coding RNA from Mercenaria mercenaria, 1153 nucleotides. RefSeq lists it as uncharacterized. The transcript has 5 exons. The record is from RefSeq and is a predicted model, not a curated record. Lineage: Eukaryota; Metazoa; Mollusca; Bivalvia; Venerida; Veneridae.
AUGAGUGAAUUAGCGAGUUGUUUCCCUUUGAAAUCAACACGCCAUUAUCGGUGGAUACAUGUCUGAAACUGGGUCAGAGAAUACAUGCAGUUAUUGCUCUGAAUAUACGCGGAUAUUUAAAGUGCAUGGCGGAUUUAAUAAUUGUUAUGGAUAACCUCCAGCAGUAAGAAAUAUAAAGGCCCACUGCAGUUUUGAGUGCUCAACAAGUAUUGACCCCAUACUAUGCUCAGCAAGUAGGGCCCUUGUAUUUCUGUGAAUCCUCAUGCAGUACAGUACUGCUGUUGGAAGAGGAGCAAACAGUGUGGUAUCUAUGGUCCACCAUCACUUCAAGCAUUAUGGCUAUGGAGAAAAGAAUCUUUCAUUACAUAUGGACAAUUAUAGUGGACAAAAUAAGAAAAGUGUUGUAAUAAGCUAUGGAAUGUGGCUUGUUAUGAUGGGUCUACAUGAUGACUUGGAGUACAACCUGAUUGAGGCAUACAGAAUUCAGUCCUGAACAUGUUUAGAAUGUCUUCUGCAUGACCUGGUAUAGAUAGUAUUCUUGAAGGAUUAUAACUUCAACACAGAGACGGAGAUUAAUAUUUUUAGGCAGGGGGUUGGCAUGACAGGCAAAUUCACCAACCGUAUUACCAUUCCUGAGUUGAAUGCCAGUCGACAGUGGUACCUGUAUAAUGAAAUAGCGCCCCUUUGCAGCAACAGCAAUGUAUGCUCAAAACCAGCAGUGUCAAAGCCAUUAAAAUUGAUAAUUCAAGUCAUUUAAAACGAAGAAUGAAUGGAAAAAAGUGUUUAACAUUUAAAGUAAUACUGAGAAAGAGCUCUGAAAUUUUGAUUAAUUUGAAAGUGUUUUUGAUUUUUUGAAGAUGUACUAGACCCAAAUUCCAUAUAUUUGAAAAAGAACAAAUGAUACAUAUAAUUUAUGUUAACAUUGAAUUAACAACUUUAUGGUGUCAACAGUACUAUGCAUUUGUUAAAUAUUGACUCACUAUAUACAUGUAAGGCUGAACACAGUAUAAAUGUGAAAUUCCUCUAAAACACUGGAAGAUUUUUCAACAAUAAUUGUAACAUAUAUGGUAGUAAUAUACAUUUUUUUCAUUACGACAGUUGGAUUAUAUAGAUCUACGAAUAUUUUCUGCUGUAUUCAGACUGAAUGUAAUCA